This 436-nucleotide ribosomal RNA is filed under the name Klebsiella oxytoca. RNAcentral describes it as "bacterial SSU rRNA". It matches the Rfam family "Bacterial small subunit ribosomal RNA", at positions 364 to 794 of the family's 1533-position model. Lineage: Bacteria; Pseudomonadati; Pseudomonadota; Gammaproteobacteria; Enterobacterales; Enterobacteriaceae. The record is from RNAcentral.
UUGCACAAUGGGCGCAAGCCUGAUGCAGCCAUGCCGCGUGUAUGAAGAAGGCCUUCGGGUUGUAAAGUACUUUCAGCGGGGAGGAAGGGAGUGAGGUUAAUAACCUUAUUCAUUGACGUUACCCGCAGAAGAAGCACCGGCUAACUCCGUGCCAGCAGCCGCGGUAAUACGGAGGGUGCAAGCGUUAAUCGGAAUUACUGGGCGUAAAGCGCACGCAGGCGGUCUGUCAAGUCGGAUGUGAAAUCCCCGGGCUCAACCUGGGAACUGCAUUCGAAACUGGCAGGCUGGAGUCUUGUAGAGGGGGGUAGAAUUCCAGGUGUAGCGGUGAAAUGCGUAGAGAUCUGGAGGAAUACCGGUGGCGAAGGCGGCCCCCUGGACAAAGACUGACGCUCAGGUGCGAAAGCGUGGGGAGCAAACAGGAUUAGAUAGGGGGGGU